Molecule: ribosomal RNA, 397 nt
Filed under: uncultured bacterium
Lineage: Bacteria
Description: partial 16S ribosomal RNA
Rfam family: Bacterial small subunit ribosomal RNA
Source: RNAcentral
GGGGAAGAAGGUUGUUAGGUUAAUACCUAGGCGACUGGACGUUACCCANAGAANAAGCACCGGCUAACUCCGUGCCANCAGCCGCGGUAAUACGUACGGUGCUAGCGUUAAUCNGAAUUACUGGGCGUAAAGGGUGCGUAGGCGGUUAANUAAGUUAGAUGUGAAAUCCCCGGGCUCAACCUGGGCANUUCAUAUNAUACUGCUUGGCUCNAGUACGGGAGAGGGGAAUGGAAUUUCNGGUGUAGCAGUGAAAUGCGUAGANAUCGGAAGGAACACCNNUGGCGAANGCAGUUACCUGGCCUUGUACUGACACUGAGGCACGAAAGCGUGGGGAGCAAACAGGAUUACAUACCCUGGUAGUCCACGCUGUAAACAAUGUCAACUAGCUGUUGGUUAU